GGCCCAGAUUAGAAGAUAAAUGAAACCAGUGUGAGCACAACUUAAAUCUCAAAGGCUCAGAUUAAAAGAUCACUCUUCAUGAAGAUUCAAAGGUCCUUAUUCACGCUCCUACCUCUCUUUUUAUGAAAUCCUAGCCUUUCCACUCUAUAAAUAGAACUUCAAGGCCUCCAUCUUCUCCAAUGAAGCCAACGUCUAAGUUUCUCUCUAAGCUGU
Molecule: long non-coding RNA, 213 nt
Filed under: Elaeis guineensis (African oil palm)
Lineage: Eukaryota; Viridiplantae; Streptophyta; Magnoliopsida; Arecales; Arecaceae
Description: long non-coding RNA (EGUI_LNC036739)
Source: RNAcentral